UACCAUGCAAGUCGAACGGUAACAUGAGUGCUUGCACUUGAUGACGAGUGGCGGACGGGUGAGUAAAGUAUGGGGAUCUGCCGAAUGGUAGGGGACAACAGUUGGAAACGACUGCUAAUACCGUAUAAAGUUGAGAGACCAAAGCAUGGGACCUACGGGCCAUGCGCCAUUUGAUGAACCCAUAUGGGAUUAGCUAGUAGGUGGGGUAAUGGCUCACCUAGGCGACGAUCUCUAGCUGGUCUGAGAGGAUGACCAGCCACACUGGAACUGAGACACGGUCCAGACUCCUACGGGAGGCAGCAGUGGGGAAUAUUGCACAAUGGGGGGAACCCUGAUGCAGCCAUGCCGCGUGUAUGAAGAAGGCCUUCGGGUUGUAAAGUACUUUCGGUGAUGAGGAAGGCGGUGUAUCUAAUAGGUGCAUCGAUUGACGUUAAUCACAGAAGAAGCACCGGCUAACUCCGUGCCAGCAGCCGCGGUAAUACGGAGGGUGCGAGCGUUAAUCGGAAUGACUGGGCGUAAAGGGCAUGUAGGCGGAUAAUUAAGUUAGGUGUGAAAGCCCUGGGCUUAACCUAGGAAUUGCACUUAAAACUGGUUAACUAGAGUAUUGUAGAGGAAGGUAGAAUUCCACGUGUAGCGGUGAAAUGCGUAGAGAUGUGGAGGAAUACCGGUGGCGAAGGCGGCCUUCUGGACAGAUACUGACGCUGAGAUGCGAAAGCGUGGGGAGCAAACAGGAUUAGAUACCCUGGUAGUCCACGCUGUAAACGAUGUCGAUUUGGAGUUUGUUACCCUGAGUGAUGGGCUCCGAAGCUAACGCGAUAAAUCGACCGCCUGGGGAGUACGGCCGCAAGGUUAAAACUCAAAUGAAUUGACGGGGGCCCGCACAAGCGGUGGAGCAUGUGGUUUAAUUCGAUGCAACGCGAAGAACCUUACCUGGUCUUGACAUCCACAGAAUCUUGUAGAGAUAUGAGAGUGCCUUCGGGAACUGUGAG
Molecule: ribosomal RNA, 989 nt
Filed under: Pasteurellaceae bacterium HumaH5
Lineage: Bacteria; Pseudomonadati; Pseudomonadota; Gammaproteobacteria; Pasteurellales; Pasteurellaceae
Description: bacterial SSU rRNA
Rfam family: Bacterial small subunit ribosomal RNA
Source: RNAcentral